This 379-nucleotide RNase MRP RNA is filed under the name Sphaerobolus stellatus SS14. Its description in RNAcentral is "RNase MRP". It matches the Rfam family "RNase MRP". From Rfam's summary of the family: RNase MRP is an enzymatically active ribonucleoprotein with two distinct roles in eukaryotes. The record is from Rfam by way of RNAcentral. Lineage: Eukaryota; Fungi; Basidiomycota; Agaricomycetes; Geastrales; Sphaerobolaceae.
CCGCCGAACGAAGAAGUCGCUAUCGCAGCUCACGAACAGGGAGACUCACGUCUCCUACCAUCAUGCUGUGGGGAAAGUCCCCGGAGAAGAUAGAGUUAAUGCCUUGUCUGUUGUAGGGAAAGCUGCUGCCUUUAAGCACGGCAGUCCUAGACAAGGAAAGGCGUAGACACCCUGUGCUUCGCGUUUAUCGUGUCGUGCUUGUCUAUGCUGCUCUGUCGCCUUCGUCCUCUAUUAUUGCCGUCAAAUGUCCCCAGAGCGAAGAUACGAGCUUUGAAGGUCGUGGUCGUGGUGGGGGCGGAGGCAACCCGUUGCUCAUAGACAUAGUUAUGCGGCUGCGGUCUUUGGCCGUAACAGAAUGGGGCUUACUCUUGCGUCGGCG